GACUUUGAUUAUGGCUCAGGACGAACGCUGGCGGCGUGCCUAACACAUGCAAGUCGAACGGAGUUAUGCGCUGAGCGGAAGGUGCUUGCACUGGAAGCUCUUGUAUAACUUAGUGGCGGACGGGUGAGUAACGCGUGAGCAACCUGCCCUUCAGAGGGGGAUAACGUUUGGAAACGAACGCUAAUACCGCAUGAGACCACGGCUCCACAUGGGGCAGCGGUCAAAGGAGCAAUCCGCUGAAAGAUGGGCUCGCGUCCGAUUAGAUAGUUGGCGGGGUAACGGCCCACCAAGUCGACGAUCGGUAGCCGGACUGAGAGGUUGAACGGCCACAUUGGGACUGAGACACGGCCCAGACUCCUACGGGAGGCAGCAGUGAGGGAUAUUGGUCAAUGGGGGGAACCCUGAACCAGCAACGCCGCGUGAGGGAAGACGGUUUUCGGAUUGUAAACCUCUGUCCUCUGUGAAGAUAAUGACGGUAGCAGAGGAGGAAGCUCCGGCUAACUACGUGCCAGCAGCCGCGGUAAUACGCAGGGAGCGAGCGUUGUCCGGAUUUACUGGGUGUAAAGGGUGCGUAGGCGGUUUUGCAAGUCAGAAGUGAAAUCCAUGGGCUUAACCCAUGAACUGCUUUUGAAACUGCAGGACUUGAGUGAAGUAGAGGUAGGCGGAAUUCCCGGUGUAGCGGUGAAAUGCGUAGAGAUCGGGAGGAACACCAGUGGCGAAGGCGGCCUACUGGGCUUUAACUGACGCUGAAGCACGAAAGCGUGGGUAGCAAACAGGAUUAGAUACCCUGGUAGUCCAUGCCGUAAACGAUGAUUACUAGGUGUGGGGGGACUGACCCCCUCCGUGCCGGAGUUAACACAAUAAGUAAUCCACCUGGGGAGUACGACCGCAAGGUUGCAACUCAAAGGAAUUGACGGA
This 918-nucleotide ribosomal RNA is filed under the name uncultured Bacillota bacterium. Its description in RNAcentral is "bacterial SSU rRNA". It matches the Rfam family "Bacterial small subunit ribosomal RNA", at positions 9 to 917 of the family's 1533-position model. The record is from RNAcentral. Lineage: Bacteria; Bacillati; Bacillota.